AUUGAACGCUGGCGGUAUGCCUAACACAUGCAAGUCGAACGGUAACACACUUUCGGCUUGCUCUUAGUGGUGGCGGGGUGCGUACUACUGCGGAACAUGUCCGAACCUGCUGUUUCAUGGGGCAUAAGGUAUGGUAAUUUACCCUAAUACCUCCUACUACCUGCGGGUGAACGCAAGGGAUUUUCGGACCGUGCCCGACUGUGGCAGCCGAUGUCGGAUUAGGUAGUUGGCGGGGUAAAGGCGCACCAAGGCGACGAUCCGUAGCUGGUCUGAGAGGAUGAUCAGCCACACUGGAACUGAGACACGGUCCAGACUCCUACGGGAGGCAGCAGUGGGGAAUUUUGGACAAUGGGCGCAAGCCUGAUCCAGCCAUGCCGCGUGCGGGAAGAAGGCCUUCGGGUUGUAAAGUGCUUUUGUAGGGAACGAAAAGCCGUCGGUUAAUACACCGCUGUUAUGACGGUACCGAAAGAAUAAGCACCGGCUAACUACGUG
This 492-nucleotide ribosomal RNA is filed under the name uncultured bacterium. Its description in RNAcentral is "partial 16S ribosomal RNA". It matches the Rfam family "Bacterial small subunit ribosomal RNA", at positions 30 to 507 of the family's 1533-position model. The record is from RNAcentral.